UCCUACGGGUGGCAGCAGUAGGGAAUAUUAGUAAUGGGCGAAAGCCUGAACUAGCAACGCCGCGUGUGCGAAGAAGGCCUUCGGGUUGUAAAGCACUUUUUGAGAGGAUGAGGAAGGACGGUACUCUCAGAAUAAGUCUCGGCUAACUACGUGCCAGCAGCCGCGGUAACACGUAGGAGGCAAACGUUAUCCGGAUUUACUGGGCGUAAAGCGCGUGUAGGUGGUUUGGUAAGUAGGGCGUGAAAGCUCCUGGCUCAACUGGGAGAGGACGUUCUAAACUGCCAAGCUUGAGGAUGGUAGAGGGAGGUGGAAUUCCGGGUGUAGCGGUGGAAUGCGCAGAUAUCCGGAGGAACACCAGUGGCGAAGGCGGCCUCCUGGACCACUCCUGACACUCAGACGCGAAAGCUAGGGUAGCAAACGGGAUUAGAUACCCCGGUAGUCGA
Molecule: ribosomal RNA, 443 nt
Filed under: uncultured bacterium
Lineage: Bacteria
Description: bacterial SSU rRNA
Rfam family: Bacterial small subunit ribosomal RNA
Source: RNAcentral